Molecule: long non-coding RNA, 307 nt
Organism: Oncorhynchus gorbuscha (pink salmon)
Lineage: Eukaryota; Metazoa; Chordata; Actinopteri; Salmoniformes; Salmonidae
Exons: 3
Source: RefSeq, a predicted model, not a curated record
GCCAAUUCAACUCUGGUCAAUUCAACUCGGACACGCACGGCUGCAGCGGUAUCCAGGCAAGAGGCUGCAGUGCUCAUGGUCACUGUGCAGGAUGCCUGGGACUCUACACCUGUGACGUGGACCUUGGCAAGUGUCACCUCAAGGGGAUCUCACAGAGGACAGAAAGCAAGUUCUUCCAGACCCUGAGUGAUAGCAGACGGAGUUGACACCUAAGCCAACACAAUCCGAUGAUGAACCUUGACCUUUUCUACUGAUUCUGUUGUUGUUGUUGUUGUUGUUGUUGUUGUUGUUGUUGUUGUUGUUGUUG